AACGCGAAGAACCUUACCUACUCUUGACAUCCAGAGAACUUACCAGAGAUGGAUUGGUGCCUUCGGGAACUCUGAGACAGGUGCUGCAUGGCUGUCGUCAGCUCGUGUUGUGAAAUGUUGGGUUAAGUCCCGCAACGAGCGCAACCCUUAUCCUUUGUUGCCAGCGGUUAGGCCGGGAACUCAAAGGAGACUGCCAGUGAUAAACUGGAGGAAGGUGGGGAUGACGUCAAGUCAUCAUGGCCCUUACGAGUAGGGCUACACACGUGCUACAAUGGCGCAUACAAAGAGAAGCGACCUCGCGAGAGCAAGCGGACCUCAUAAAGUGCGUCGUAGUCCGGAUUGGAGUCUGCAACUCGACUCCAUGAAGUCGGAAUCGCUAGUAAUCGUAGAUCAGAAUGCUACGGUGAAUACGUUCCCGGGCCUUGUACACACCG
RNAcentral lists this ribosomal RNA (434 nucleotides) under Enterobacter sp. C24. RNAcentral's name for it is "bacterial SSU rRNA". It matches the Rfam family "Bacterial small subunit ribosomal RNA", at positions 958 to 1392 of the family's 1533-position model. Lineage: Bacteria; Pseudomonadati; Pseudomonadota; Gammaproteobacteria; Enterobacterales; Enterobacteriaceae. The record is from RNAcentral.